Molecule: transfer RNA, 75 nt
Filed under: Xanthobacteraceae bacterium
Lineage: Bacteria; Pseudomonadati; Pseudomonadota; Alphaproteobacteria; Hyphomicrobiales; Xanthobacteraceae
Also listed under: 1 other name
Description: tRNA-Glu
Rfam family: tRNA
About the family: Transfer RNA (tRNA) molecules are approximately 80 nucleotides in length. Their secondary structure includes four short double-helical elements and three loops (D, anti-codon, and T loops). Further hydrogen bonds mediate the characteristic L-shaped molecular structure. tRNAs have two regions of fundamental functional importance: the anti-codon, which is responsible for specific mRNA codon recognition, and the 3' end, to which the tRNAs corresponding amino acid is attached (by aminoacyl-tRNA synthetases). tRNAs cope with the degeneracy of the genetic code in two manners: having more than one tRNA (with a specific anti-codon) for a particular amino acid; and 'wobble' base-pairing, i.e. permitting non-standard base-pairing at the 3rd anti-codon position.
Source: RNAcentral
GGCCCCAUCGUCUAGUCAGGUCUAGGACACUGGAUUUUCAUUCCAAUAACAGGGGUUCGAAUCCCCUUGGGGUCA